AAAGAUAGCAGGUAUCUCUCUUAUUGUCUACCUUGUCUGAUUGUAGAGACAGCAAGAUGACAGUUUUCAUAUUACAUCAUUUUCAAACAUGUCCUUCUGUUCACUGCAGGUCUAACAAAAGGAAUUGGUCUUUCCUGUCCUUCCUUACUGAAAUAUGUGGUUAGUUGCGUUGGGGGGCAGGGGUUUGAAGAAAGCAAGAUUUUCCUUUUUCUAGCUGUAUCUCCAGAACUAUUAACUACUCAAGCAGAAAUCACUACCUCAUUUUCUGUUGAAGCUAUGAAAAAGAGUUCAGGCUUCAUCUUAAAAACCUAUGUGGUGGGAAGUAAGACCUUCUUUGAUUGCCUAAUUUUGUCCCACACAAAUUGAGUUGGCAACAAAUGUAGAUAAUAUCCCUGCCUUGCAAACAUACCCAUUUAUGAAUAAUACAACUAUGUGUUUCGCAGGAUGCUAAACAUCAUCCUAUCAUCUUGGUAUGAUAGGACAAAAGGAUAACUCAACAAUAUUUUUUCAUACGGAGGAAAAAAAUGUCUGAGAGGACACAUAAUGUUUCCAAAAUUGCUAGUAUAUUCAGCAACUACAAACCAAAUGACACUUAGAAUAUCAGAAGUUUUUAUCUUUUUGGAUGAAUUCAAUCAUCAGCAGCCUACUUUAGUAUAUGAAGAGCAAAAGUCAUAAUAUAUUAUUUUUCAUCUAUUAUUUCAGCGCUGCAUUGCCUUUUCUGAAUAAAGGAAGUUUAUCAAGAAAAUUUACCUCAUUUUAGCUUGUUAAAAUACUGUUAGAUGAGAUGCUGGCAGACGGACAUUUUUGAAACUAUCUUGACCAGUAAAAUCUUGUCAGUACCACUGCUCCAACUUUCUGCUGAACACUAUUGUUGUUUGAACUCCUGCAACAAACAUGCCUUCUACAUACAAGGUCAUGAAGUCUAAUUGUGGCCUUAAAAAAAGAAAUAGGAACAGGAUCUUUCCAGUUAGGAGAUUAAAAAAAUGUCAUCAAACAGGGGCCAGUGAAGACAGCACUAAAUCAAAAAUAAAGAAAGAAAACCAUGCAACUCUGAACAGACCAUGGAAUACCAAACCUGGCUCGCUUGGAUGGCAGCCGCUGUUGGUUAACUGUCAUUCCAAAAAAUCUGGGAUCAUUGAACUAAUGUGCAACAACUCCCCUCUCUGUGAUACUGACUACAUUGUACUAUGCCGACUCCUAGUAACUUAAGAGUAACUUCCCCCUCCAGCAGCCAGGACUCUUGAAGACUGCUGUAUUCUACAUAAAACUCAUAACGUUGAAACACUAGCAGUGUUCUUUUCCUGUUUUUUGAAUCAGAUCAUGUUUUCAUCGGCUCUCCCAUCACUACUAUAUCACAUAUCAAAAACUUGUAUUAUCCUGCAGCACCUUUCGGUGCAUCCUCUUCCUUAUUUUCAAGGCUCUCACAGCCUUAUUCCCCCAUUUCCCACGAAGAGUACUAGCCUUAAUACUUUCAUCCACAGUCUAAAACAAACUGCUUUGCUUGCAUUGAGAUCUUCAGAGUGAGGGCAGUGCCACUGCUGAAUUUAGGAAGGGACUAGCUUAUUUGAAUUACAGCCAAAAUUCACUUAAAGUUUUAAUUAGAUGUGACUUUCUGUCAAUACAUCACUGCUUUCUGAUGUUGUAUAUUUGGUCUACAAAUAUCCUAGAAUAAAACAUUCCGACUGUGCCA
Molecule: long non-coding RNA, 1690 nt
Organism: Struthio camelus australis
Lineage: Eukaryota; Metazoa; Chordata; Aves; Struthioniformes; Struthionidae
Source: Ensembl